CACCUACGGGAGGCAGCAGUGGGGAAUAUUGCACAAUGGGGGAAACCCUGAUGCAGCAACGCCGCGUGAGUGAGGAAGUAUUUCGGUAUGUAAAGCUCUAUCAGCAGGGGAUAGAAAAGAAGGUACCUGAAAAAGAAGCCCCGGCUAACUACGUGCCAGCAGCCGCGGUAAUACAUAGGGGGCAAGCGUUAUCCGGAUUUACUGGGUGUAAAGGGAGCGUAGGCGGUUUAGCAAGUCAGAAGUGAAAGCCCAAGGCUCAACCAUGGGACUGCUUUUGAAACUGUCAAACUAGAGUACGGGAGAGG
Molecule: ribosomal RNA, 305 nt
Filed under: uncultured bacterium
Lineage: Bacteria
Description: bacterial SSU rRNA
Rfam family: Bacterial small subunit ribosomal RNA
Source: RNAcentral